AGGGUUGUAGUUAAAUUUAACAUUUGAUUUGCAUUCAAAAAAUAUUGAAUAUUCAAUCUACCUU
RNAcentral lists this transfer RNA (64 nucleotides) under Chamaepsila rosae (carrot rust fly). RNAcentral's name for it is "tRNA-Ala". It matches the Rfam family "tRNA". From Rfam's summary of the family: Transfer RNA (tRNA) molecules are approximately 80 nucleotides in length. Their secondary structure includes four short double-helical elements and three loops (D, anti-codon, and T loops). Further hydrogen bonds mediate the characteristic L-shaped molecular structure. tRNAs have two regions of fundamental functional importance: the anti-codon, which is responsible for specific mRNA codon recognition, and the 3' end, to which the tRNAs corresponding amino acid is attached (by aminoacyl-tRNA synthetases). tRNAs cope with the degeneracy of the genetic code in two manners: having more than one tRNA (with a specific anti-codon) for a particular amino acid; and 'wobble' base-pairing, i.e. permitting non-standard base-pairing at the 3rd anti-codon position. Lineage: Eukaryota; Metazoa; Arthropoda; Insecta; Diptera; Psilidae. The record is from RNAcentral.